Molecule: ribosomal RNA, 496 nt
Filed under: uncultured bacterium
Lineage: Bacteria
Description: partial 16S ribosomal RNA
Rfam family: Bacterial small subunit ribosomal RNA
Source: RNAcentral
GAUGAACGCUGGCGGCGUGCCUAAUACAUGCCAGUCGAGCGAACAGACGAGGAGCUUGCUCCUCUGACGUUAGCGGCGGACGGGUGAGUAACACGUGGAUAACCUACCUAUAAGACUGGGGUAACUUCGGGAAACCGGAGCUAAUACCGGAUAAUAUAUUGAACCGCAUGGUUCAAUAGUGAAAGACGGUUUUGCUGUCACUUAUAGAUGGAUCCGCGCCGCAUUAGCUAGUUGGUAAGGUAACGGCUUACCAAGGCAACGAUGCGUAGCCGACCUGAGAGGGUGAUCGGCCACACUGGAACUGAGACACGGUCCAGACUCCUACGGGAGGCAGCAGUAGGGAAUCUUCCGCAAUGGGCGAAAGCCUGACGGAGCAACGCCGCGUGAGUGAUGAAGGUCUUCGGAUCGUAAAACUCUGUUAUUAGGGAAGAACAAAUGUGUAAGUAACUAUGCACGUCUUGACGGUACCUAAUCAGAAAGCCACGGCUAACUACGU